AUUGAACGCUGGCGGCAUGCCUUACACAUGCAAGUCGAACGGCAGCACGGGAGCAAUCCUGGUGGCGAGUGGCGAACGGGUGAGUAAUAUAUCGGAACGUGCCCAGUCGUGGGGGAUAACGCAGCGAAAGCUGUGCUAAUACCGCAUACGAUCUAAGGAUGAAAGCGGGGGAUCGCAAGACCUCGCGCGAUUGGAGCGGCCGAUAUCAGAUUAGCUAGUUGGUGGGGUAAAGGCCCACCAAGGCGCCGAUAUGUAGCUGGUCUGAGAGGACGAGGAGCCACACUGGAACUGGGACACGGUCCAGACUCCUACGGGAGGCAGCAGUGGGGAAUAUUGGACAAUGGGCGCAAGCCUGAUCCAGCAAUGCCGCGUGCAGGAAGGAGGCCUUCGGGUUGUAAACUGCUUUUGUACGGAACGAAACGGCCCUUUCUAAUACAGGGGGCUAAUGACGGUACCGUAAGAAUAAGCACCGGCUAACUACGUGCCAGCCGCCGCGGUAA
RNAcentral lists this ribosomal RNA (500 nucleotides) under uncultured bacterium. RNAcentral's name for it is "partial 16S ribosomal RNA". It matches the Rfam family "Bacterial small subunit ribosomal RNA", at positions 29 to 523 of the family's 1533-position model. The record is from RNAcentral.